Molecule: ribosomal RNA, 1371 nt
Filed under: uncultured bacterium
Lineage: Bacteria
Description: bacterial SSU rRNA
Rfam family: Bacterial small subunit ribosomal RNA
Source: RNAcentral
GAUGAACGCUGGCGGCGUGCCUAAUACAUGCAAGUCGAGCGAACGGACGAGAAGCUUGCUUCUCUGAUGUUAGCGGCGGACGGGUGAGUAACACGUGGAUAACCUACCUAUAAGACUGGGAUAACUUCGGGAAACCGGAGCUAAUACCGGAUAAUAUUUUGAACCGCAUGGUUCAAAAGUGAAAGACGGUCUUGCUGUCACUUAUAGAUGGAUCCGCGCUGCAUUAGCUAGUUGGUAAGGUAACGGCUUACCAAGGCAACGAUGCAUAGCCGACCUGAGAGGGUGAUCGGCCACACUGGAACUGAGACACGGUCCAGACUCCUACGGGAGGCAGCAGUAGGGAAUCUUCCGCAAUGGGCGAAAGCCUGACGGAGCAACGCCGCGUGAGUGAUGAAGGUCUUCGGAUCGUAAAACUCUGUUAUUAGGGAAGAACAUAUGUAUAAGUAACUGUGCACAUCUUGACGGUACCUAAUCAGAAAGCCACGGCUAACUACGUGCCAGCAGCCGCGGUAAUACGUAGGUGGCAAGCGUUAUCCGGAAUUAUUGGGCGUAAAGCGCGCGUAGCGGUUUUUUAAGUCUGAUGUGAAAGCCCACGGCUCAACCGUGGAGGGUCAUUGGAAACUGGAAAACUUGAGUGCAGAAGAGGAAAGUGGAAUUCCAUGUGUAGCGGUGAAAUGCGCAGAGAUAUGGAGGAACACCAGUGGCGAAGGCGACUUUCUGGUCUGUAACUGACGCUGAUGUGCGAAAGCGUGGGGAUCAAACAGGAUUAGAUACCCUGGUAGUCCACGCCGUAAACGAUGAGUGCUAAGUGUUAGGGGGUUUCCGCCCCUUAGUGCUGCAGCUAACGCAUUAAGCACUCCGCCUGGGGAGUACGACCGCAAGGUUGAAACUCAAAGGAAUUGACGGGGACCCGCACAAGCGGUGGAGCAUGUGGUUUAAUUCGAAGCAACGCGAAGAACCUUACCAAAUCUUGACAUCCUUUGACAACUCUAGAGAUAGAGCUUUCCCCUUCGGGGGACAAAGUGACAGGUGGUGCAUGGUUGUCGUCAGCUCGUGUCGUGAGAUGUUGGGUUAAGUCCCGCAACGAGCGCAACCCUUAAGCUUAGUUGCCAUCAUUAAGUUGGGCACUCUAAGUUGACUGCCGGUGACAAACCGGAGGAAGGUGGGGAUGACGUCAAAUCAUCAUGCCCCUUAUGAUUUGGGCUACACACGUGCUACAAUGGACAAUACAAAGGGCAGCGAAACCGUGAGGUCAAGCAAAUCCCAUAAAGUUGUUCUCAGUUCGGAUUGUAGUCUGCAACUCGACUACAUGAAGCUGGAAUCGCUAGUAAUCGUAGAUCAGCAUGCUACGGUGAAUACGUUCCCGGGUCU